AGUAACGCGUGAGGAACCUGCCUCAAAGAGGGGGGAAACAGUUGGAAACGACUGCUAAUACCGCAUAAGCCCACGGCUCGGCAUCGAGCAGAGGGAAAAGGAGUAAUCCGCUUUGAGAUGGCCUCGCGUCCGAUUAGCUAGUUGGUGAGGUAAAGGCUCACCAAGGCGACGAUCGGUAGCUGGUCUGAGAGGACGACCAGCCACACUGGGACUGAGACACGGCCCAG
This 227-nucleotide ribosomal RNA is filed under the name uncultured bacterium. RNAcentral describes it as "partial 16S ribosomal RNA". It matches the Rfam family "Bacterial small subunit ribosomal RNA", at positions 109 to 334 of the family's 1533-position model. The record is from RNAcentral.